This 253-nucleotide ribosomal RNA is filed under the name uncultured bacterium. RNAcentral's name for it is "partial 16S ribosomal RNA". It matches the Rfam family "Bacterial small subunit ribosomal RNA", at positions 524 to 776 of the family's 1533-position model. The record is from RNAcentral.
UACAGAGGGUGCGAGCGUUAAUCGGAAUUACUGGGCGUAAAGCGUGCGUAGACGGUUAUUUACGUCGGAUGUGAAAGCCCCGGGCUCAACCUGGGAAUUGCAUUCGAGACUGAAUAGCUAGGGUGCGGUAGAGGGAAGCGGAAUUUCCGGUGUAGCGGUGAAAUGCGUAGAUAUCGGAAGGAACAUCAGUGGCGAAAGCGGCUUCCUGGACCAGCACCGACGUUCAGGCACGAAAGCGUGGGGAGCAAACAGG